Molecule: ribosomal RNA, 484 nt
Filed under: uncultured bacterium
Lineage: Bacteria
Description: partial 16S ribosomal RNA
Rfam family: Bacterial small subunit ribosomal RNA
Source: RNAcentral
AUUGAACGCUGGCGGCAGGCCUAACACAUGCAAGUCGAGCGGAUGAAGGGAUCUUGCUCCUGGAUUCAGCGGCGGACUGGUGAGUAAUGCCUAGUCAUCUGCCUGGUAGUGGGUUAUAACGUCCGUAAACGGGCGCUAAUACCUCAUACGUCCUUCUGUCGAAAGUGUGGGAUCUUCGGACCUCACGCUAUCAUAUGAGCCUAGGUCGGAUUAGCUAGUUGGUGGGGUAAAGGCCUACCAAGGCGACGAUCCGUAACUGGUCUGAGAGGAUGAUCAGUCACACUGGAACUGAGACACGGUCCAGAAUCCUACGGGAGGAAGCAGUGGGGAAUAUUGGACAAGGGGAGAAAGAAGGAUAAAGAAAUGACGAGUGGGGGAAGAAGGGAUUCGGAUUGUAAAGCACUUUAAGUUGGGAGGAAGGGAAGGAAGUUAAUACCUUGCGGGGUUGACGUUACCAACAGAAGAAGCACCGGCUAACUUCGUG